RNAcentral lists this ribosomal RNA (795 nucleotides) under Triticum aestivum (bread wheat). Its description in RNAcentral is "partial small subunit ribosomal RNA". Lineage: Eukaryota; Viridiplantae; Streptophyta; Magnoliopsida; Poales; Poaceae. The record is from RNAcentral.
AUGGAGGUGGUAUCCGCGCUUGCCUCGGCUGAGAUUCUAGGAUCGGAGCCCAGGUCAACUGGGAUAGUAGAGGUAACUGGCAUGUCUGACUCUGAGCGGGCGGCCAAGUGGGCGCGUAAGAAACAAAAUAUUUUGUGUUAUAGAUGUGGUGGAAAGGGUCACUUUAUUGCUAAGUGUGUUGCUGAGCUUUGUGGCGCUUGUGGAAAAUCAGCACACGACUCGGGGGAUUGUCCGUUUUUGAGAGAUCAGGCACCAGCACUCAUGAUGUAUGGAGUGUAUUGUGCUGAGCUUACUUUCUUUGAAUCUCCAACGGAGAUGGAGGUUCCUGACGAGACUUUGAGUUUAACGACUGGGUUAGUCAAAGUUGCCAGAGAAGAUGUCUCGGAGGCACAGAAUGUUCAGAGGCUCAAGGAGUUAGCUCCUGGGGAUUUCCGGUGGGAGCUUGUUAGCAUCAAGGACAAACUGUUUCGGGUUGAGUUUCUGUCAGUUGAGGAUCUUCAGAGACUUCUGAGCUUCGAAAUGUGCAAGGUGCCGGAUACUGAUGGUGUGCUUGAGUUUCACGAGUGGAAGAGGAUUGAGCCUACGGGCAAGCCGCUGACUCAGGUUUGGUUGCGGUACUCUGGGGCCCCUUCCAAGCCGAUGCAGGAUGCUCGGGUCGUGGCCAGUUUGGGUAUCAUGGUGGGCAGACCAGAGCGAGUGGAUAUGGACUUCACCAGAGCCCACGGCAUUGCCCGUAUACUGGUUAGUGUGCUGAACAUCGAGUAUGUGCCUGAGGUGGUAAAGUGGGCAUAUUGA